RNAcentral lists this ribosomal RNA (407 nucleotides) under uncultured bacterium. RNAcentral's name for it is "partial 16S ribosomal RNA". It matches the Rfam family "Bacterial small subunit ribosomal RNA", at positions 30 to 526 of the family's 1533-position model. The record is from RNAcentral.
AUUGAACGCUGGCGGCAGGCCUAACACAUGCAAGUCGAGCGGAGCGGCUGACGGUUGAGUAAUGCCUAGGAAUCUGCCUGGUAAUGGUGGAUAACGUCGGGACACGGGCGCUAAUACCGCAUACUAUCAGAUUAGCCGCGUGCGUAUGAGCUAGUUGGUGGGGUAAAGGCCUACCAAGGCGACGAUCCGUAACUGGUCUGAGAGGAUGAUCAGUAACACGGGAAAUGAGACACUGUCAAGAUUCCUACGGGAGGCAGAAGUGGGGAAUAUUGAACAAUGGGCGCAAGCCGUAGGCAGCAAUGCCGCGUGUGUGAAGAAGGCCUUCGGGUUGUAAAGUACUUUCAGCUGGGAGGCGUUACCAGCAGAAGAAGCACCGGCUAACUGCGUGCCAGCAGCCGCGGUAAUAC